Molecule: long non-coding RNA, 373 nt
Organism: Cavia porcellus (domestic guinea pig)
Lineage: Eukaryota; Metazoa; Chordata; Mammalia; Rodentia; Caviidae
Exons: 3
Source: RefSeq, a predicted model, not a curated record
GCCCAGGGCCUGAGGCUGGAACCCCUUGGGAGUGGGAAGGGUGCCGGGUCCCAGGGAGGAGGCCUCCAGGUGCUGCCCAAGCCCCUGGGUGUGCACUGUGCAGCCCAGACCAGGCUGCUUGGAAUCAGAGGCCGGCACCCACCCACUUCUGGGCCCAGCCCAUGUCCUCUGAAACAUCCUCCUUCCUGGGCAUCAUGGGAAUUUUCUCUGCCACCUGUUCCCAUCCUGCAGCGCAGUGUACAGGUGGAGGCCAUGUGGGACCAGGAAACCAAGGACGCAGGAAGAAGGAGCUUGGCUUCUGUCUUGGCCCACUGUGCUCCACGCUUGUCCUCAGGGCAGCGUCCAUCAGCCCUGGACCCUGAGCUGUCACCCA